UGUUGCUGGGGGAGGGGGUAGCCGUGACCGCGCGGGGGGAAAGGCAGGGGAACUUGAGGGGGCGGCGGGCCGGGAAAACGGUUGCCCCCAGCGUCUGGGAACCUGAGACUACAGGCACAAGUAAGCGCUCGGGUGGAUGCCUGUGGGACGGCGGCGCGGGGAGCAGACGUUAACCCGGCCGGACCUCGCGCACAUACCCCACGCUGACCCGGCCUUGCAUAGGGUCGGAAUAUGGGGAUGGGGUCCAGGCAGGGCUGGUCCCAGCACCGAGCUCUCUUGCAGCGCCACCAGUUUGUUAACUCUACAGCCCCAGGGGGUGGGUUAAUGGGGGAGGUCCAUGCCCCCCCCCCAUAUGAUCCUCGUCCGCUAGAUCGUGUCCGCUCCCACCCCCAACUGCUUCCAAGGAGAGAGUUUGGCGAGGGUGGCUAGAAGAGGUUUGUUGGGCUCGGGUUCCUAGCGCCUGGUCUUGGGUCUGAGAACGGGGACUCAAAUUCGAUGAACACAAGGGCCCUUCGCGGGCCCUACAAACCGACUGCGGUUCGGUGGUGUCUCCCCCGCCCUCUGUACCCGAGAGUCCUCGGGCGUCUGCCGGGUCCUAGCGCCCCUCCUUCCAAGGCGCUUUGUGUAAAAGAACCGGAGAGUUGCAUCAGGACCAAGGACUAGAUCUCCGGAAAAGUCCGGGAGUGCAAUGGCCAUCCCCUGUUUCGUCAUUCAGGCGGGGCCACAGGAUAUCUGGCUUGAUGGCAGUGCUCGGGGACGAAUAAUGAUUGCUGAGGGUGGGAGGAGGUUCGGACGGACUCGACCUUUACGUCUUUAAAGGCUUAUCAAUCUGGGACACCGGGAUCCCAAUAGAAGAGGGAACCAAAUUUACAGCAGACGCUCCCACUCCGGGAGCCUAACCAGAUCCGACUGGCAGGCCUCGCCUCGGGGGCGGGCUUGCGCGUGACAGAUGACACUUGCUGGAGGUCGGGCCCCUGCCAUCCCCACCCCCACCUAAUUAAAAAAAAAAAAAAAAAAAAAAGGCUGACCCGUGGGCCUUUCGGGCAAACCGUGACUCGAACCAGAAAGGACCGGAAUUGAGGCCCUGCACCGCCCCCCUCCCCCAUUUUCCAGAUGGAGGAACCAAUUAUGGAGACAAAUUUAUGGAUAAAAAAUAAAUUAGGGGGUGUCGGAUUAGGAGAUAGCGUUAAGAUUGCCGCACAACAAAAUAGUCUUUUGGCCGCUGGGGCGAUUAAGGCCUGAACACUGGCCCUUUCUUCCUGUCCUCUGAGUUCCAGUCACUUACUGGGAGCCUUAAAGAUACCAGGGUCAGGGGGGUUAGGGGAAGUGCUUGGAGGGCUGGUGGUGGUAGAUGACAUUCUCUUGAAAUCACAGUUUACUGAGGUGGGGUGACCCGUAUGGAUGUGGCCUUGUCGCCAGGACAGAAGGUUAGGGAAUGAAUCCAUCAGAGUACUAUUCCCUCUUCCCACCAGACAGACUGGGUUGGGGACACCUGAGACAGAAGGAGAUAGUUUGGGGAUGUUUUUCUUUUUCAUCUCUCUCUCUCUCUCUCCCUCUCUUUGUGGCAGGAAAAAAAGGAAAUAUUUCAGAAAAAAAUGUGGAACACUAAGAAAAAUAGAGGUUUUUAAAAAAGUGGAUAUUCAUAAGCAAAAGAAUCCAGAGACCGUGUGGAGAGCUCAGUUCACCAGAAACCAUUCAUAUUCAAUAUGGUAUUUGUGUGGUGCAUUUGAGUGUUUGUGUGUGUGUUGAAUAUGUGCAGUGUGUCUGCAGUGUAGGGUUUGUGCUUUGUAUGUAUUUUGUGUGUAUGUGUGUGGAAUAUCUGUGGUGUGAGUGCGCUGUAUGUGUAGAUCUUAGUGGGUGUUGGUUAUGGUUUGGUGUAUGUGAACUGUGUGUGUGGUAUAUAUGAAUUGUGAAUGUGGUUUAUAUGUGGAGUAUAUGCAGCGUAAGUGUGGGCUGUGCAGUGUGUGUAUGUGUGUGUUAUUUGUGUGGCAGCGAAACAUGGUCAUGAAACAGUGUGCUAAGCACAUUUUAUCAUUCACUGUCUCACUCUGUUAUUGCCAAGUUUUUCCCAAAUGGGAAGGCCUGUGUUAAUGGGCACUGAGUAAUUUUGUUUCUUUUCAAAAGAAAUCCACUAAUGUUGUUGCCUCAUUGUGUUUUCUAAAAAUAUGGAAAAAAAAGACCAGCAGUCUUAGCCCUGGACGUCUCUCCCAGAGCAGAAGGCCCACCGGCUGCAGAAUAAACAAUCACCUACAAGGAGGACUGGGGGCCGGGAGGCUCCAAACGACUUUCCUCACUGACCCCCUUCUCCCCUGUGAAGGAGGGGUCAAAGCCCCAUACCAUUGUCUUCCAGGAGAACCUUUGGACCUGGAAAAGGAAUUUCUUAACUGUUAGCCCCUCUGUGGAGUCAGGGUAAAGGGCGUUGAUCCAUCGUGUGAGGGGAAGGGAAGGGUAGGAUCCCUUCCAUCUGGCUGGGGCUGCAAAGACUUCAUUACCACCCCACUUACCCCUCCCACUAUUGAAGCAGAUGGGGGUGUGGGAAACACCUAAAAUGUGUAACUCCUGGGGGAGGAGGAAGCUCAGUCUCCUCACCUCUAAGCCAGGCCCCCUUGGAGACCUCAAAGAUCCCAUAAACCCUGCAUUUGGUGCGCUUCUCUCUCCCUACUACUCCCCUUGGGCCUAAGCUGGCUGCAGGUCAGACUUGCCUGAACAUGCCCCUGCCUGAAGCUUUGGAGACUCAGCUCUGGCAUCCCUGCAGCCAAGAAGCCUUCCCCAGCACGCCCACCCCCACCCUCCCAUCCCUUAGGUGCCCCUCCUCAUGUCAUCCUUAUACCUGUGUAUAUCUCUUGUUAAUAAUUGUUUCCACUUUAGUCUUCUUAUUGGACUAUGAGCUUCUUGAGGAUGGUGUUCUACUCUCCUUAACUUCCAGUGGACAGCACAUAGUAAAGGCUCAGUGAACAUUCCUUGGAUGAACAGAUGAAUGGAUGGAUGGAUGGAUGGAUGGAGAGAUGGAUGGAUAAAGCAAGAAGGUGAAUUUUCCCAGAAUUGUAGACCUACAUCUGGAUUCCCAAGACCAAGGUCUGUGUGGGGCACUUUGGUACAACAGCCCCCUAGGCGAUCCUGACGCUCGGCUCCAUUUUAGUUGGAAUGUCUGCUGACCUCUCAGAAAGAAAGAGCUAGACAGACCAUGAGCAUGGGAGGGGCAGAAAGAGAAGGAGACAGAAUUU
Prionailurus viverrinus (fishing cat) is the source of this 3224-nucleotide long non-coding RNA. RefSeq lists it as uncharacterized. The record is from RefSeq and is a predicted model, not a curated record. Lineage: Eukaryota; Metazoa; Chordata; Mammalia; Carnivora; Felidae. The transcript is spliced from 3 exons.